GUGUGGCAAAAAUUAUUAAGGAGCUGCCUGCAUGCAGGGAUGUUGCAAAAUACUGCACAAAAGCAAACUAAUAUAUUCAUUUCAGCAAGAAUUGUGUAUUCUGAUCUGACUUGGAUUCUCCAGGGACUGCAUGUCAGACAAACACAAUAAAAAUCAAGAGACCAGAUGACCCACUUCUCUUUAGCUUGAGGAUAAAACCCAACUGCUUUAGUAGCCCUGUCCAAACUGGCUGUAAAUAAUAAUUCUGAAGAAAAACAGGGUGGUAACACUAACUUCAAAAAGUACUUCACGAAUCCGAAAACUUAUAUUAAAUAACCAACCAUGAUUAAUGCACUUGGCUGUAGAAUUCAAUUAUAUUUUAAAAGGAGAUCAUGAAGGAGACUUCAGACUUGUUUUCUUUUACCACUGAUAUGACAGAUCAAAAAUGUUAAUGCUACAGCUAUGGUACUAACUAGAAACUAAGUAUAGCUUAAAUGCACUGAUUUAUUUUACAAAUGUGGAACAUUCAAGGAAUAGGCCGUUGUUCUGUAAAGGCUAUCAAUGACACUAAAGAAUUAUACAGCUCAUACCAACUCAAAACAAUGCAUAAACAGAAUCAAGAGACAUUUAAUAUGCUAUGUACCAGAACAUGAAAUGAUGGGGACCAUAAAAUGUGGAUAAUCUGAACUGCAGAAAUUACUCCAUUUCAAUGAUCUGUUCCUUAAAAAGAAAAAGUAAACUGUUUAAAAGAUUUAGCAAAAUGUGUGCAUAGAUUGUGUAAAUCACCAUGGGUAUCAAUUAUAUCUCGAAAAUAGUGUACAGUUCUUAUAACAUCAAGGCCUGGUUUUAAUUACAGAUGCAGUGUAACUAACAAUUUCUUAAUUUUAAUGAGUCCUAUUCUAUUAUAGGAUUAACUGGUGCUGUAGCUGAAGAAGCCAAAAGAAUUUUGAAUUAAAAGAAUUCCAGAGACAUUUGAGAGGCACACAGAGCAGCACAUUGUUUUGAAAUAUGUUGGAUUUUGGCCCAAAUGCAGUUCUGCUUUCUCAUUCAGUGAGACAUCUUGUGGGAUCAUGCCCUUUUUUUCCAAAACUAAAAGGAAUGUUCACUGCUGAACUUGGCCAAAAACUUAUCCCGUGUUGCAACAAGGUGAAUGUCACGUUGUGUAAAGGACAGUGCACACAUAAAAUACCCACUGUGCUGAUGUUUACACGAUGUACAUUUUUGGAUCAGUGUGCAACUGAUCAUGCCAAACUCUCCAGUGUUGGUUCAUGAAAAGCACACCAGACUGCCUCAGCUUCAACCCCCUGACCCACUGGAGAGUUCUGCAGGCUACUGAGCAGUAAAAGUUCCCUCUGUGGAUAAAGAGCCCAUGGCAAGCAGUAAUCUCUCAGAAGCAAUGAACAUGCCUCAUCUGAGUGUAUGUGUUAAGUUUGUUAAAUAUUUAUCCAGAUCCAUAUUUGAGUAAUAAAAAUUACAUGCUGAAAGUACUUCA
This 1471-nucleotide long non-coding RNA is filed under the name Anas platyrhynchos platyrhynchos (common mallard). RNAcentral describes it as "lncRNA (ENSAPLG00000023646.1)". Lineage: Eukaryota; Metazoa; Chordata; Aves; Anseriformes; Anatidae. The record is from RNAcentral.